GUGGGGAAUAUUGGACAAUGGGCGAAAGCCUGAUCCAGCCAUGCCGCGUGUGUGAAGAAGGCCUUUUGGUUGUAAAGCACUUUAAGCGAGGAGGAGGCUACCGAGAUUAAUACUCUUGGAUAGUGGACGGUACUCGCAGAAUAAGCACCGGCUAACUCUGUGCCAGCAGCCGCGGUAAUUCAGAGGGUGCAAGCGUUAAUCGGAUUUACUGGGCGUAAAGCGCGCGUAGGUGGCUAAUUAAGUCAAAUGUGAAAUCCCCGAGCUUAACGUGGGAAUUGCAUUCGAUACGGGGUGGCUAGAGUAUGGGAGAGGAUGGUAGAAUUCCAGGUGUAGCGGUGAAAUGCGUAGAGAUCUGGAGGAAUACCGAUGGCGAAGGCAGCCAUCUGGCCUAAUACUGACACUGAGGUGCGAAAGCAUGGGGAGCAAACAGGAUUAGAUACCCCUGUAGUCC
RNAcentral lists this ribosomal RNA (451 nucleotides) under uncultured bacterium. RNAcentral describes it as "partial 16S ribosomal RNA". It matches the Rfam family "Bacterial small subunit ribosomal RNA", at positions 354 to 796 of the family's 1533-position model. The record is from RNAcentral.